GUAGGCUGCAACCCGCCUACAUGAAGUUGGAAUUGCUAGUAAUCGCAGAUCAGAAUGCUGCGGUGAAUACGUUCCCGGGCCUUGUACACACCGCCCGUCACACCAUGGGAGCCGGUAAUACCCGAAGUCAGUAGUCUAACCGCAAGGGGGACGCUGCCGAAGGUAGGAUUGGCGACUGGGGUGAAGUCGUAACAAGGUAUC
This 201-nucleotide ribosomal RNA is filed under the name uncultured bacterium. RNAcentral describes it as "partial 16S ribosomal RNA". It matches the Rfam family "Bacterial small subunit ribosomal RNA", at positions 1300 to 1500 of the family's 1533-position model. The record is from RNAcentral.